This 78-nucleotide microRNA precursor is filed under the name Pelobates cultripes (western spadefoot toad). The record is from RNAcentral. Lineage: Eukaryota; Metazoa; Chordata; Amphibia; Anura; Pelobatidae.
AACAUUACUAUAAUAAUAAACAUGACAAGUGUUGAGUUUCUCAGUCCACUUGUCAUGUUUAUUAUUAUAGUAAUGUUU